Molecule: ribosomal RNA, 743 nt
Filed under: uncultured bacterium
Lineage: Bacteria
Description: bacterial SSU rRNA
Rfam family: Bacterial small subunit ribosomal RNA
Source: RNAcentral
GUCGAACGGGAAUUCAUUUAUAGCAAUAUACGUGGAUUCUAGUGGCGAAAGGGUGCGUAACACGUAGCUACCUACCUCGAAGUUGGGGAUAGCUCGGCGAAAGCCGGAUUAAUACCGAAUGUGACCGUAAGGUCAAAGCUGGGGAUCGUAAGACCUGGCGCUUUGAGAUGGGGCUGCGGCCUAUCAGCUAGUUGGCGGGGUAACGGCCCACCAAGGCUCGGACGGGUAGCUGGUCUGAGAGGACGACCAGCCACACUGGAACUGAGACACGGUCCAGACACCUACGGGUGGCAGCAGUCGAGGAUUUUUCUCAAUGGGGGAAACCCUGAAGGAGCGACGCCGCGUGAGGGAUGAAGGUCUUCGGAUUGUAAACCUCUGUCAUCUGGGAACAAUGUGAUCUACCUAACACGUGGAUCAUUGAUAGUACCGGAAGAGGAAGCAGUGGCUAACUCUGUGCCAGCAGCCGCGGUAAUACAGAGACUGCAAGCGUUGUUCGGAUUCAUUGGGCGUAAAGGGUGCGCAGGCGGCCCGUUAAGUCGGAUGUGAAAUCUCACAGCCUAACUGUGAUAGGUCAUUCGAAACUGGCGGACUUGAGGACUGGAGAGGAGACUGGAAUGGUCGGUGUAGCGGUGAAAUGCGUAGAGAUCGACCAGAACACCGGUGGCGAAGGCGGGUCUCUGGACAGUUCCUGACGCUCAGGCACGAAAGCCAGGGGAGCAAACGGGAUUAGAUACCCCGGUAGU